UUAAGUUCAGCGGGUAUCCCUACCUGAUCCGAGGUCAAAAUGUGGGGGUGGCUUGCUGGGAGCUCACACGCAGGCCCGAGUUCGCGUUUCUGCUGCGCUCGAAACUGCAAUGCUAGCCGCCAAUAGAUUUGAGGCGAGUCGCCUGCGGAAACCGCGGGGUCGACAAGGCGCCCAUCACCAAGCAGAGCUUGAGGGGUCAA
This 200-nucleotide unclassified non-coding RNA is filed under the name Sordariomycetes sp. RNAcentral's name for it is "partial internal transcribed spacer 2". The record is from RNAcentral. Lineage: Eukaryota; Fungi; Ascomycota; Sordariomycetes.